GACGAACGCUGGCGGCGUGCUUAACACAUGCAAGUCGAACGGAAAGGCCCUGCUUUUGCGGGGUGCUCGAGUGGCGAGCGGGUGAGUAACACGUGAGUAACCUGCCCUUGACUUUGGGAUAACUUCAGGAAACUGGGGCUAAUACCGGAUAGGAGCUCCUGCUGCAUGGUGGGGGUUGGAAAGUUUCGGCGGUUGGGGAUGGACUCGCGGCUUAUCAGCUUGUUGGUGGGGUAGUGGCUUACCAAGGCUUUGACGGGUAGCCGGCCUGAGAGGGUGACCGGCCACAUUGGGACUGAGAUACGGCCCAGACUCCUACGGGAGGCAGCAGUGGGGAAUAUUGCACAAUGGGCGGAAGCCUGAUGCAGCAACGCCGCGUGCGGGAUGACGGCCUUCGGGUUGUAAACCGCUUUCGCCUGUGACGAAGCGUGAGUGACGGUAAUGGGUAAAGAAGCACCGGCUAACUACGUG
RNAcentral lists this ribosomal RNA (468 nucleotides) under uncultured bacterium. RNAcentral's name for it is "partial 16S ribosomal RNA". It matches the Rfam family "Bacterial small subunit ribosomal RNA", at positions 28 to 507 of the family's 1533-position model. The record is from RNAcentral.